Molecule: long non-coding RNA, 1267 nt
Filed under: Trifolium pratense (red clover)
Lineage: Eukaryota; Viridiplantae; Streptophyta; Magnoliopsida; Fabales; Fabaceae
Description: long non-coding RNA (TPRA_LNC006957)
Source: RNAcentral
UCUCUUCUUUAAUUAAGAAAAUACUAUGCAAGGUUUCCAACCUAUGAAUAAUGGAGGUUGUAAAAUUUAGGGAUUUAGAGGAAGCUUAGGCGGUGGUCUCGGUGAACAGAGAGACGAAGAAGACAGGAUUUGAUUUUUUUAUUUGAUUUUUUUACCUCACAUGUGUUUUAUAUAUUUGUUGCCCCUAACAAUUUUUAUUGCCCUUAAGUUUCUCAUUAAUCACAAACAUGACAUUGUCAUAUUUUAUAACUUGUCCUCUCAAAAGUUCUAUUCUAUUCUAGUUUAAUUUUCUCUUAUCCCACUAACUAAUCCUUAACAUAUUUAAGGACUCUCACCAAUUAGGUACUAAUUGGUCUUUCUUAAAUUCUCGGGUAUUACAAUCUAUUCCCCUUAAAGUAAAUUUCGAGGACGAAAUUUUGUACUACUCAACAAUCUGAUUUUCCGCUGCGUACUCUGAUCAACUAAUAACCCUACCUGUCAUUCUAAGCUUUAACACAUUCCUCUCCAAUCUCUACACAUACUUCCACAACUUCAAUAAUCAACCGAACAUGGUAUUUUGAGAUAUGACCAAUAAGCCUAAACCGAUCUAAAAAUAAUGCAGAAAAUCCAUUAGCCUCCUAAGCUAGUAGAGAUGACACCUACCAACUUGACACAUAUAAUUAUCUACACUACUUAUAUGGCUUUUUGCAUCAACCUUUCUCCUAAUCCAUUGAAAUGAUACAACCUAAAGGAUACCUCCCAACACAACUUCACCAGUAAGUACUUCAGAUUGCUAAAUUCCUUCUGCAAGCUGCCGCAAAAACUUUACAAUAUUACAAUACAAUUAAGAGACUUCAGCUAAACUAGUUCAUAGCUUAUGAUUCUAACAAAAUCCAAAUUAAAUUUCCAAACCAAUAAAAUCUCUUGACUCUAUCAAAAUAUUACCAACAUCCAGAAUAUCAAUUUCCAUAUCCUUAGAGUUGUAAUAACUUAUAACUUUCACAUCUUCUAAAUCUAAACCAUUAACUAAUGUCAAUAUCAUAAUUUGUGUCCAUUAUCAACUUACACCAUAUCAUUCACACUAAUAUUUUGUCUACCAUUCACUUACUAAAUACCAUCUUAUAGUCAAAAUCAAGCUUAGUUAUAAAACAACUUACAAACCAAAAACUAAUACUCAAUAGCAUGUCUAACUCACAUUGAACUAAUUUAUCCAAUUUAUAUCCUAUAUAUUUUAUUCUAACUCAAUCUACACCAGUUUAUUUUGAUUCCUAAAAGUCAUAACAAAAUG